CGAAAACACUGCGAGGCCUUUGCUUUGUUCCUGCCUUCUCUUUCCUAAAGAGGGAUAGAGAGAGAGCAGAGUGUGAAAGAGACGAAUACAAAGUCUUUUCUGACGGUUUUACUUAAACGCCGUUAAAAUUCGAUUGAUCAUGUUGGAUCACCAAAUGGGGAAGUGUGACUGGUCUUCGGUUUAAUCGAACCGAAGAAACAUAACGGUUUGACGAUAUUGCUCGGCCGACGUGAUGCCGUUAGUUUUAGCGGAGUAAAUGACGUAAGGUGGACGGUGGCACGUCCCUGCUGCUGAGACGACAAAAAAGGAAGGGGAAGCGAAUAAUUGACCGUCAUUCGUCGUCGUCGUGACAUUGGCGGGUUUGUAAAUAUUAAAUAAAGUUGGAGGUGCCAAAUAAAAACUUUAUAUUUUCACAAGGACUAAAAUUGUAAAUGGG
Molecule: long non-coding RNA, 436 nt
Organism: Raphanus sativus (radish)
Lineage: Eukaryota; Viridiplantae; Streptophyta; Magnoliopsida; Brassicales; Brassicaceae
Exons: 2
Source: RefSeq, a predicted model, not a curated record